This 431-nucleotide ribosomal RNA is filed under the name uncultured bacterium. RNAcentral describes it as "bacterial SSU rRNA". It matches the Rfam family "Bacterial small subunit ribosomal RNA", at positions 958 to 1392 of the family's 1533-position model. The record is from RNAcentral.
AACGCGAAGAACCUUACCAGGGCUUGACAUGCACGGGAAUGUCAUAGAAAUAUGGCAGUCUUCGGACUCGUGCACAGGUGGUGCAUGGCUGUCGUCAGCUCGUGUCGUGAGAUGUUGGGUUAAGUCCCGCAACGAGCACAACCCUUAUCUCCAGUUGCUACCAUUUAGUUGAGCACUCUGGCGAAACCGCCUCGGAUAACGGGGAGGAAGGUGGGGAUGACGUCAAAUCAUCAUGCCCCUUAUGACCUGGGCUACACACGUGCUACAAUGGACGGUACAAAGCGCUGCCAACCCGCGAGGGGGAGCCAAUCCCAAAAAGCCGGUCGUAGUCCGGAUCGCAGUCUGCAACUCGGCUGCGUGAAGUCGGAGUCGCUAGUAAUCGCAGAUCAGCAACGCUGCGGUGAAUACGUUCCCGGGUCUUGUACACACCG